UACAGAGGGGGCGAGCGUUGUUCGGAAUUACUGGGCGUAAAGCGCGCGUAGGCGGCUUUGCAAGCCGGAUGUGAAAUCCCCGGGCUUAACCUGGGAACUGCAUUCGGGACUGCAUUGCUAGAGUAUGGGAGAGGGAAGUGGAAUUUCAGGUGUAGCGGUGAAAUGCGUAGAUAUCUGAAGGAACAUCAGUGGCGAAAGCGACUUCCUGGACCAAUACUGACGCUCAUGUGCGAAAGCGUGGGGAGCAAACAGG
This 253-nucleotide ribosomal RNA is filed under the name uncultured bacterium. RNAcentral's name for it is "partial 16S ribosomal RNA". It matches the Rfam family "Bacterial small subunit ribosomal RNA", at positions 524 to 776 of the family's 1533-position model. The record is from RNAcentral.